RNAcentral lists this ribosomal RNA (253 nucleotides) under uncultured bacterium. RNAcentral's name for it is "partial 16S ribosomal RNA". It matches the Rfam family "Bacterial small subunit ribosomal RNA", at positions 524 to 776 of the family's 1533-position model. The record is from RNAcentral.
UACGUAGGGGGCUAGCGUUGUCCGGAAUCAUUGGGCGUAAAGAGCGUGUAGGCGGCCCGGUAAGUCCGCUGUGAAAGUCGGGGGCUCAACCCUCGAAUGCCGGUGGAUACUGUCGGGCUAGAGUGCGGAAGAGGCGAGCGGAAUUCCAGGUGUAGCGGUGAAAUGCGUAGAUAUCUGGAGGAACACCGGUGGCGAAGGCGGCAUCCUGGACCGGCAUUGACGCUGAGGCGCGAAAGCUAGGGGAGCAAACGGG